AUGAUAUGGAAGUCAGCCAUCGAACCGAGCAUGGCCCUGGAGCACAGUGCCUGAAAGUAUCUCGCAGUAUGGCCGCAGAGCCAACAAAUCAAUGUUGACAGCUCGGAACGGAGGACCAGGCGCAAAAAUUGGGAACGGAUGGAGAUGCAGAUUCAUAGAAACAGAUACAAAGAUGGGGACUGCUGGAUGUGUCGUGAGAAAAUGGAUUCCGAAAUCAGAAACAAGAGACCGAGGCCCGAUUUCCAAAUAAAUAGCAAUGCAUACUGGGCGCACAUGUAGUAAUGAGCACAUCGGGCUGCUUGGCCAAAUCAAUACAAACAGUCAAUAUUUUAUUUAAAAGUAAAGCUAAAGGAAAUCGUUAAAAGU
Long non-coding RNA from Drosophila erecta, 366 nucleotides. RefSeq lists it as uncharacterized. NCBI's taxonomy places the organism in Eukaryota, Metazoa, Arthropoda, Insecta, Diptera, Drosophilidae. The record is from RefSeq and is a predicted model, not a curated record. The transcript is spliced from 2 exons.